GAUGAACGCUAGCGGGAGGCCUAACACAUGCAAGCCGAGCGGGAUUUGUUGGUUAGCUUGCUAACUAACAAUGAGAGCGGCGUACGGGUGCGUAGCACGUGUGCAACCUGCCUUUAUCUGGGGGAUAGCCUUUCGAAAGGAAGAUUAAUACCCCAUAACAUAUUGAUUGGCAUCAGUUAAUAUUGAAAGCUCCGGCGGAUAGAGAUGGGCACGCGUAAGAUUAGCUAGUUGGUGAGGUAACGGCUCACCAAGGCUGCGAUCUUUAGGGGGCCUGAGAGGGUGAUCCCCCACACUGGUACUGAGACACGGACCAGACUCCUACGGGAGGCAGCAGUGAGGAAUAUUGGACAAUGGGCGAGAGCCUGAUCCAGCCAUCCCGCGUGAAGGACUAAGGACCUAUGGUUUGUAAACUUCUUUUAUACAGGGAUAAACCUACUCUCGUGAGGGUAGCUGAAGGUACUGUAUGAAUAAGCACCGGCUAACUCCGUG
RNAcentral lists this ribosomal RNA (489 nucleotides) under uncultured bacterium. RNAcentral describes it as "partial 16S ribosomal RNA". It matches the Rfam family "Bacterial small subunit ribosomal RNA", at positions 28 to 507 of the family's 1533-position model. The record is from RNAcentral.